UUAGCUUCAUGUUGUCAGGUUGAUCC
Molecule: non-coding RNA, 26 nt
Filed under: Homo sapiens (human)
Lineage: Eukaryota; Metazoa; Chordata; Mammalia; Primates; Hominidae
Source: RNAcentral